AAGAAACAAAGCACACGUGAUAAACAAUUUGGGCAACCUCUCCCUUGACGCCCACUGUUCCAGAAUUUCUCCUCCCAAAUCAUACAAAGAUCUGAACCAUGAAGAAGAAGCCAAAAUCCCUCCUCUGCACCCAUUAACCAAAGCGCUCAAACCUGUCACUUUCUCAAAACCUCUUCUCCCAAUUUUUUCCCAAAUCGUGAUUACCAACACAGAGGUUCCAGGCUGGAAUACAAGAGUUGUGAGAUUUUGUUGAAUUCAAAGUUGGAUCCUUUAUUGCGGGAGAAAAGCAGACAAACAGAGGUUUUAAGCAUCAAGUAUGAAAGAGUUCAAAUAAAUGAUGUUGGAGAGUCGAUCAAAUUGAAGGUAUUUUUGAAGGCAUUAGAGUGCAAAAUCAAUAUCAAUUAUGUUACUGGAGAAGAUUUCUAAUUAUUACAUGUUCAUGCAAAGUAGUGAGUUACAAGAAAAUGUAAGGAGACUAUUCUUACAAAUGUUAAAAGGGGCAUUAUCCUCGAUGAAAUUUAAUUCAAGAGGUUGAAGUUGGAUUUUGAGCUUAUAACUUGCUAACCGAAGACUAGAUCAUGAUACUAUCAAACAAUAAUGACUAUAGGCAAGAUAUAUAGAGUAGGAGCAGCUUGCAUAUUUGUUAUAUAUAGAUGCAUCUUUCAAUAUAAUAGAGUUUUCUUGGUUAAUCGAUGUUAGGAAGAAUCUCAAUGCUAGCCAAUGGCAAUCUAUCAUAAUCCAUUUACUU
Long non-coding RNA from Trifolium pratense (red clover), 748 nucleotides. RefSeq lists it as uncharacterized. NCBI's taxonomy places the organism in Eukaryota, Viridiplantae, Streptophyta, Magnoliopsida, Fabales, Fabaceae. The record is from RefSeq and is a predicted model, not a curated record. The transcript has 5 exons.